Microcebus murinus (gray mouse lemur) is the source of this 106-nucleotide small nuclear RNA. Lineage: Eukaryota; Metazoa; Chordata; Mammalia; Primates; Cheirogaleidae. The record is from Ensembl.
AUGCUCCACUCAGCAGCACUUAUAUGAAAACUAGAAAGACACAGUGAAGAUUAGCCGGCCCCUGCACAAGGAUGACACACAAAUUUAUGAAGUGUUUCAGAUUUUU